GUGAGGAAUAUUGGACAAUGGGCGCAAGCCUGAUCCAGCCAUGCCGCGUGCAGGAAGACGCAUCUAUGGUGUGUAAACUGCUUUUGUACGGGAAGAAACACUCCCUCGUGAGGGAGCUUGACGGUACCGUAAGAAUGAGGAUCGGCUAACUCCGUGCCAGCAGCCGCGGUAAUACGGAGGAUCCAAGCGUUAUCCGGAAUCAUUGGGUUUAAAGGGUCCGUAGGCGGUUUAAUAAGUCAGUGGUGAAAGCCCAUCGCUCAACGAUGGAACGGCCAUUGAUACUGUUAGACUUGAAUUACAAGGAAGUAACUAGAAUAUGUAGUGUAGCGGUGAAAUGCUUAGAUAUUACAUGGAAUACCAAUUGCGAAGGCAGGUUACUACUUGUGGAUUGACGCUGAUGGACGAAAGCGUGGGGAGCGAACAGGAUUAGAAACCCCGGUAGUCC
RNAcentral lists this ribosomal RNA (445 nucleotides) under uncultured bacterium. RNAcentral describes it as "partial 16S ribosomal RNA". It matches the Rfam family "Bacterial small subunit ribosomal RNA", at positions 354 to 796 of the family's 1533-position model. The record is from RNAcentral.